UAGGUCUCAGUUCAGAUUGCAGGCUGNAACCCGCCUGCAUGAAGUCGGAAUUGCUGUAAUCGCGGAUCAGCAUGCCGCGGUGAAUACGUUCCCGGGCCUUGUACACACCGCCCGUCACACCAUGGGAGCCGGUAAUACCCGAAGUCAGUAGUCCAACCUCGUGAGGACGCUGCCGAAGGUAGGAUUGGCGACUGGGGUGAAGUCGUAACAAGGUACC
This 217-nucleotide ribosomal RNA is filed under the name uncultured bacterium. RNAcentral describes it as "partial 16S ribosomal RNA". It matches the Rfam family "Bacterial small subunit ribosomal RNA", at positions 1282 to 1500 of the family's 1533-position model. The record is from RNAcentral.